GACGAACGCUGGCGGCGUGCCUAAUACAUGCAAGUUGAGCGCUGAAGGUUUGUACUUGUACCGACUGGAUGAGCAGCGAACGGGUGAGUAACGCGUGUGGAAUCUGCCUUUGAGCGGGGUACAACAUGUGGAAACGAAUGCUAAUACCGCAUAAAAACUUUAAACACAAGGUUUAAGGUUGAAAUAUGCAAUUGCAUCACUCAAUGAUGAUCCCGCGUUGUAUUAGCUAGUUGGUGAGGUAAAGGCUCACCAAGGCGAUGAUACAUAGCCGACCUGAGAGGGUGAUCGGCCACAUUGGGAGUGAGACACGGCCCAAAGGCCUACGGGAGGCAGCAGUAGGGGAUCGUCGGCAAGAGACGAAAGUCUGACCGAGAAACGCCGAGGGAGUGAAGAGGGUUUUCGGAUCGGAAAACUCUGUUGGUAGAGAAGGACGUGGGUGAGAGUGGAAAGCUCAUCAAGUGACGGUAACUAGCCAGAAAGGGACGGCUAACUACGUG
Molecule: ribosomal RNA, 497 nt
Filed under: uncultured bacterium
Lineage: Bacteria
Description: partial 16S ribosomal RNA
Rfam family: Bacterial small subunit ribosomal RNA
Source: RNAcentral